UGUACUAUGAACCUAACCAGGUAUUCAAAAGGCCAGGAGUGUUGUGUCUGUGUAGGAAUGCACUGCCAGCACAGGUUGUCUGCUCUGCGUGGUAGAGGUAUACCCCUGAAAUCCUUAUUCUGCAGAGAAAUAAUGAUUGAAAUGUUUUUUACACCGGCAGUCAUUCCUUUAACAAGUAUAACCAAGGAAACGUAAAGAAGCGCUCUUACUCAUAUUCAUUGGCGCUGCAGCAGGCGGUGUAUUUUGGAGCAACUGACACAAGACUACACACCACAAAUACUGCCGACUGUCUUUGGUCUCCCUAUUAGAAUGUGAGCGUCA
Molecule: long non-coding RNA, 321 nt
Organism: Sphaeramia orbicularis (orbiculate cardinalfish)
Lineage: Eukaryota; Metazoa; Chordata; Actinopteri; Kurtiformes; Apogonidae
Exons: 2
Source: RefSeq, a predicted model, not a curated record